This 249-nucleotide ribosomal RNA is filed under the name uncultured bacterium. RNAcentral describes it as "partial 16S ribosomal RNA". It matches the Rfam family "Bacterial small subunit ribosomal RNA", at positions 524 to 776 of the family's 1533-position model. The record is from RNAcentral.
UACAGGGGGGCAAGCGUUGUUCGGAAUUACUGGGCGUAAAGGGCGAGUAGGCGGCCAACUAAGUCCGACGUGAAAUCCCAGGCUUAACCUGGGAACUGCGUCGGAUACUGGAUGGCUUGAAUUCGGGAGAGGGAUGCGGAAUUCCAGGUGUAGCGGUGAAUGCGUAGAUAUCCGGAGGAAUACCAAAGGCGAAGGCAGUGUCCUGGCUGGCAUCUGACGCUGAGGCGCGAAAGCUAGGGAGCGAACAGG